Molecule: transfer RNA, 90 nt
Filed under: Aeromonas hydrophila
Lineage: Bacteria; Pseudomonadati; Pseudomonadota; Gammaproteobacteria; Aeromonadales; Aeromonadaceae
Description: tRNA-???(atcc)
Source: RNAcentral
CCCGCGCCUGGCGGGGCUGCGCCAGCUCUAUCCCGAGCUGGAUCUCAGCCUGGAGAUGGUGGCGGAGGAUCCUGAACUCUCCGAUCGGGU